Long non-coding RNA from Gallus gallus (chicken), 476 nucleotides. NCBI's taxonomy places the organism in Eukaryota, Metazoa, Chordata, Aves, Galliformes, Phasianidae. The record is from Ensembl.
ACCCAUACUUACCUGUUGGUGCCAGGAGUUGGUGUUUCAUUUGCUGGAAAGCUUCCAGAGAGCUCUGCGCUCCUGUCAGACCCAUGGUUCCCUGGCUGGAGAGAGUGGAAUGACAUACAGAACCUCAACAGUGCAAGAAAUGGGCACUGAGUGAUGUCUGGAAGAUGGAGUGGCCAUCUCCAAAACAGCCACAGGUUGCCCUCACACUCAUGGCCAUUCACAAUCUCUCUGCACAGAGGCAAACCAGCCAUUCUGCUCCAAGCACCAAGUUUAAGUGAAGGCAUACAAGCAGAGAUUCUUCAUACUCAGAAGACUGAGCUGGGCUCUUCAGAAGGAACAUGAUCUGGUAAAGAAAAGAGCUGUGACGUGUGAUGCAAAGAGAGGAUGGACACUGGAGUCUUACCAUUGGCUUUGAACACAGAGAGUGGAUGGUUCAGUUCAAGAGCAGAUUUGAGGGAAAGCAAUAUUAUGGUAAG